GGUUGGGUGGUGCAGUGGUCAGCAUUGCUGCCUCACAGCAGGAAGAGCGUGGGUUUGAAUCCAGCCUUUGGUCG
This is a non-coding RNA of Gymnothorax javanicus (giant moray), 74 nucleotides long. Lineage: Eukaryota; Metazoa; Chordata; Actinopteri; Anguilliformes; Muraenidae. The record is from the annotation of a GenBank genome assembly.